Long non-coding RNA from Ictalurus punctatus (channel catfish), 579 nucleotides. The record is from Ensembl. NCBI's taxonomy places the organism in Eukaryota, Metazoa, Chordata, Actinopteri, Siluriformes, Ictaluridae.
UCGGUGUGAGGACAGGGAGGAGAGGAGACGGUGUGAGGACAGGGAGGAGAGGGUACGGUGUGAGGACAGAGGAGACGGUGUGAGGACAGAGAGGAGACGGUGUGAGGACAGGGAGGAGAGGAGACGGUGUGAGGACAGAGAGGAGACGGUGUGAGGACAGAGGAGACGGUGUGGGGACAGAGAGGAGACGGUGUGCACUCUUCCAGGAAUAGAAAGACUCAGAUUGAGAACAUUAUCUCACCACACUGGAUCAUAUCUCUCUCUCUCUCUCUCUCUCUCUCUCACACACACACACACACACACAUCAUGAGAGGUUGUCUGUCAUCCACACCACUGCUCUUAAAUAGCCGCUGGCGAAGGACACACAUUUAUCACACACUGCUAAUGAACACACACACACAAUCCAUGCUAAUGAAUGUGUCUGCAGUCUGAGUGAGCACUUUUUGAUUAAUACGAGCUGUCAGAUGGAGAGAAGUGAACAUUCAUUCUGUUUGUUCAGCAGAGAGCGAGAAGAAUAAAAAGAAUAAAAUGAGAGCUGCAUUUAUACUACAGAUCAAAGAGCAGCAGAGGAGAGACGGG